ACAACCACUUUUGUCGAUUACAACAAAAAUGAAUCGUUGGGUUUCUAAUAGCCAUUUUCGACGAUUGAGUUCAACUACAAAUUUCACUCAUCAUUCCUCUCACAUCUCACUGUUCUUUAUCUCUUCUCAUUCUCUUGCUGUUUCCUCUAAAUUCUUCUGUCUUCUCUGAAUUUUGCUUUCACACCUAGUCUUCUCACUCAUAGACGUUGUCUCUCUUCUUCUUCUUCUUCUUCUUCUUAUUCUUCUCCUACGUCCUUCUUAUCUUGGCAUUUGACGCAGUCACCGACUUCGACUGUUUCUUCAGCCGUCUACUCCUCUCUCUCAGGGUAAUGCUUCUCUGUCUUUGUUUCUUUCCUAUUGUUCUUAAUUUGCUCUUUGAGUAAGAAGGAAUAGAUAGACGUUGCUGCUGGCACUCUUUUAUGAAUGGGUGGGUGAGGAGAGGAGAUGAGAAUGUUGGAUCCGAGGCCAUUUUGUAGUGUUUGGGUUUUGUUUUGUGGGUUUCAGUUAGAUCUGGCCUUUAAUAAAAUAUAAAUUAGAACGUGCAUGUUUCUUGGUCGCCAAUCACUUAGCUAUUUUCUCUCUAUCCGCUUCCUAUCAGAAUAUUCUUGAUUUAAAGUAUGCUUAUGUUUUUUAACAGUUUAUUCAUUUGCCAACUUCACUGCAAGUCCAAAAUUCGAACACUUUCAAAUCCUUUAAACUCGAAAUUCAAAAUUUUGAAAUCAAACCUUGUGAUCCACCGCUGCAACCACCACCAAAGCCAGCCAGGUCAAGCCCUGCACCACCAAAUUGGUCUCUCGAUCCCAAAACGGCUGCUUCCAAUUCAUUGUCGGCGCAUCACCUGAAGCCUCAAGACUGGUCGCUAAGCCUAGUGAGUCUACAGUGGCUCCCCCGUCUACUUCUCCGCAGUACUUAGCUUCUUCUUUUUUCGUUUUUUCUUUAUUUAAUUUUUUAAUUAUAUAAAAAUAAAAUAUAUUUUUUGUUAUUUUAAUAUUUUAAUCCCUAUAUUUUAGACUUGUAGGAUCCAGUUAUGUGCCACGUCAACACAUAACAGAAAUUUUGACAGAAUAGUGACGAAAUGACCACAUUGAUUUGUGACACCCAUUUUUAGGGACUGCAUUGAUCGAUUUGCAAUUUUAGCGAUCAUCUUGAUAGGGUAGGCCAAUUUCAGGAACCGUUUGUGAUAAAAACUGAAAUAUGUAUUUGAUGGAACUUGACAAUUUUAUAUCCUUAGGUUAUUAUAUACAUAUGCGAUGAAUGGUCUUUUUAUAAGAAAACUGGGUGGUAUGGUUGGCAUUAAUGCUUGUGGCAGUGGUGGUGGGAACGACGAAAUUAGCAGUGAUGAUGGUGGCGAUGAACAAAUUAGUGCUAGCAGCAAUGGUGGUAGGGACAACAAAAUUAGCAGUGAUGAUGGUGGGAUGAACAAACUAUUGAUGAAGAUGUACCGGAGUCGCCUAUUGCUACUAGAGCUGCCCGAUGGAUCAUUCGUGCGUCAAUCCCGUUAAUAGCAGGGAGCGCCACUGUAGUAACUACGAGGUCAAAGGGCAUCACGUUUGGUGUGUUCAAUUUAUUCACGAACAGACUAUCCUUUUUAUUGAUGUUGCUCGCUACAAUCAUCUUGAGGGCACUGCAUGAAAACACCGUUCUAGGUAUGAAGAAUUUCAUGUCACAUGAAACAUCGUUCUUUUUGCUCUUCGUUUCAUGAUUGAUUGCAACAUAGUUGGUGCUUGGUGGAAAGCUGGAAAAUAUAAGACAGCGAAGCAUCUGUCCUAGCUAUUACCAAGAAGGGUUUGAUUGCCUGUACCCUUAUGCUUUCAAGGCACUAUUUAUGGUUAGUGAAUAUAAAUGUCAUUUGCAUGUUGAACUAUAUCCCACUUGGCAAAUAUGUCAUUGACAACCUGCCUUUUUAGAUGUAAUUUGCAUGUUUGGAUUCAGCAGCUACCCAAGGAAUUGCACAUUUUAAGCUCUUAUGCUCCUUUACUUCACUGUGAUAACAUUUUUGGCAUAGCAUCAGUAACCAAUCAUGAGCAUAUUGAAAUUGAUUGUCAUUUUGUUCGUGAACAACACUCUUUUGUUGCAGUUUGUAGCUUCUGCAUAUCAGUGUGUAGACAUUUUCACAAAAGGAUUAUGUUCUCCUCAAUUUAGUGUUCAUUGUUCCAAUCUUAUGCUAGGUUGUUUCCACUCUUUGCUGGUGGCUUAGAGGGUAAGAUAAUUGAAUAUACGCUCUCUUUUGCUCUUCUAUAGUUGGUCGAUGUUCAUUUACUCUACUAUAUUUAUUUUCAUUUCUGCAGUUACCAUGUGUACAGGGGAAAGGAAAGAUGCAUACAUAUUUGUAGUUAACACUGGAGAUGAUAUGCAAGACGUCAUCUUCAACACUGAUCCAUAAAUCUUUCCAAACCUAUUAGUAUGAUGAAGGAAUCCCUUAAACAUCAAACAUUUCCCGUCACAAAAACAUACCAAGAUAAAUUUCUUAAACGGUGUUGCGGUUCAAUUGACAAAUUUCUCAAACGACGUACAAAUUUCUUAAAUGACGUCCAAAUGAAGGAUGGUGAAGAAUAUAUCACGUCGUUCCAUCCUUUUCAAUAUCACGUUGAAGCAUGGUGAAGAAUAUAUCACGCUGUGUUUAGAAUUGAAAACAUGUGGCACCUAAAAACAGGCAAAAGUUUAACCAAAAUCCUAAAAGCUAUAGAUGUUUAGUCUAUGAAAGAGUACAAUUAGGCGCCAAAUUCUAAACACCCCAUAUUAAAAAGCAUAAAUAAGUUACAAUGAAACUUCAUAAACAGAUAUAGUCGUGGAAUAUUUAAAGGGUGUUGGCCAAACA
This is a long non-coding RNA of Malus domestica (apple), 2818 nucleotides long. RefSeq lists it as uncharacterized. NCBI's taxonomy places the organism in Eukaryota, Viridiplantae, Streptophyta, Magnoliopsida, Rosales, Rosaceae. The record is from RefSeq and is a predicted model, not a curated record.